AGCUAAUAGAUACCCUGGUAGUCCUGGCAGUAAACGGUGCGCGUUUGGUGUGGGAGGAUUCGACCCCUUCUGUGCCGGAGCUAAACGCGUUAAACGCGCCGCCUGGGGAGUACGGUCGCAAGAUUAAAACUCAAAGAAAUUGACGGGGGCCCGCACAAGCGGUGGAGUAUGUGGCUUAAUUCGAUGCAACGCGAAGAACCUUACCUAGCCUUGACAUGCAUCUCUAAGUCGGUGAAAGCCGGCGACUAUAGCAAUAUAGAAUUUGCACAGGUGCUGCAUGGCUGUCGUCAGCUCGUGUCGUGAGAUGUUGGGUUUAAGUCCCGCAACGAGCGCAACCCCUGUGAACUGUUGCCACCACACUUCGGUGUGAGCACUCUGUUCAGACUGCCCUGUGAAACGGGGAGGAAGGUGGGGAUGACGUCAAGUCAGCAUGGCCCUUACGGCUAGGGCUGCACACGUACUACAAUGCCCAGUACAGAACGAACCGAAACCGCGAGGUGGAGGAAAUCCCAAAAACUGG
This 520-nucleotide ribosomal RNA is filed under the name uncultured bacterium. Its description in RNAcentral is "bacterial SSU rRNA". It matches the Rfam family "Bacterial small subunit ribosomal RNA", at positions 767 to 1285 of the family's 1533-position model. The record is from RNAcentral.